This 467-nucleotide ribosomal RNA is filed under the name uncultured bacterium. Its description in RNAcentral is "partial 16S ribosomal RNA". It matches the Rfam family "Bacterial small subunit ribosomal RNA", at positions 28 to 506 of the family's 1533-position model. The record is from RNAcentral.
GACGAACGCUGGCGGCGUGCUUAACACAUGCAAGUCGAACGGAAAGGCCCUGCUUUUGUGGGGUGCUCGAGUGGCGAACGGGUGAGUAACACGUGAGUAACCUGCCCUUGACUUUGGGAUAACUUUAGGAAACUGGGGCUAAUACCGGAUAGGAGCUCCUGCUGCAUGGUGGGGGUUGGAAAGUUUCGGCGGUUGGGGAUGGACUCGCGGCUUAUCAGCUUGUUGGUGGGGUAGUGGCUUACCAAGGCUUUGACGGGUAGCCGGCCUGAGAGGGUGACCGGCCACAUUGGGACUGAGAUACGGCCCAGACUCCUACGGGAGGCAGGAGUGGGGAAUAUUGCACAAUGGGCGGAAGCCUGAUGCAGCAACGCCGCGUGCGGGAUGACGGCCUUCGGGUUGUAAACCGCUUUCGCCUGUGACGAAGCGUGAGUGACGGUAAUGGGGAAAGAAGCACCGGCGAACUACGU